Molecule: ribosomal RNA, 312 nt
Filed under: Thalassiosira punctigera
Lineage: Eukaryota; Bacillariophyta; Thalassiosirophyceae; Thalassiosirales; Thalassiosiraceae
Description: partial Eukaryotic large subunit ribosomal RNA
Rfam family: Eukaryotic large subunit ribosomal RNA
Source: RNAcentral
GGGGAACUCUGUAUCAAGGGGGCAUUUUGCCCUGCCUAUCGAAAGGGAACCGGGUUAAUAUUCCCGGACCAGCGUGUGGAUAAUGCAUGGCGACAUAAGUGAACUUCACGACGGCGGCGGGAGCCCUGGGAAGAGUUGUCUUUUCUUCUUAACAAGAAGCCCACCGUGGAAUCGGGUUAACCGGAGAUACGGUAGGAAGCUUGGCAAAGCACCUUACGUCUUGAGGUGUCCGGUGCGCUCUCGACGCCCCUUGAAAAGUGAAGGGAAGCGUUCAUUCUCACACCUGGCCGUACUCAUAACCGCAUCAGGUCU